AAAAAAUGUCCCAUGAAGGACAAGACUCAGAACAGCUCUAGUGUGGUGUCACAGAGACCCCACCUGUGCUACAGGUGGCAGCCCCACAAAGUGCAAUGAAGGGGUACAGAGGGGACCCUGCCAUAUGUGGCUCCCUCUCUCCUGCCAGGACUGUAGGACAUUUUCAAUAAUGUCAACCACCCAUCCUUCCUCUUGAGAUGAGUGAAGUGUAGGCAGGAGGAGCUCCUUGUGCUUGCCCAAGAAAUACAAUAAGAAAUCUUAAAAAGGAUAAAAUCAUAGAACCAGUUGAAGUAGAAUUAAACAAUUAAGGGAUGUUUAUGGCUGAAAUAUACCAAGAAGUUUUUGCUUAUUUUCUUUUGUUUCUUUGUGUUUCAACUGUUUUUGGACAACCACUCACUAAUAUAGAAUGUCCUCUAGAGCUGAGCCAAGAUUAUCAAUUUGAGACUCCUGGCAAUUUCCAAACUCUGAUAUGGCUCAUUGCAAAGUGAAGGCAGGCCUGGGAUUUCAAUCCUUCCACAUAUCUAACCCCACCUGGGAAUCCUUGGCUCCAAGAUUUUCCCAGUUGUCACAGUAUGUUGUUUGCUUUUCUCCCUUGGUUAUUGUGAUUGAGUUUACAGGGAAACAACUGUCUGCCAGACCAUCACCUCACCCACCAGACACAGGAUUCGCCAACUUUUAUCAUUGGGACUCAGAUUUCAUAUAAUUCAGAGAAUCACUGGAUUCCAGGAUUAGUCAGAAGGACCCCCAUCCCCACUCUCAGCCAACUCAGACAACAGAAUUCCCAACACAACAGUCAGACCAGCCAAGAAUCCAACCUAAUGUUCAAGUAGCACCGAUGAUAGGGAUCCUAACUGAAGGCUUGACUAUGAAAUACUGUGGCCUAGAAAUGGCUACAGCUUUGUAAAACCUAAAGAAAAUCAUGGCAAAUCCCUUAAGGGACAAGGACAAUGUACUAAGCUAACUUUUGAAGCAAUCCAAUGCUGUAUGAGUGUAACAGACAUGCUCAGUAGGAAAAAGUCAUAUAGACAGAUGCAAAGAUGUAUAUAUAGAGAAAUAGAUGAUAGGUAGGUAAGGUAGAUAGAUGAUAGAUGAUGAUUGAUAGGUAGAUAGAUGAUAGAUAGAUAGAUAGAGAGAGAUAGAGAUAUUUGAGUCUUAACUAUGAAAGCCUAGCCAGAGAAAUCAGGACAGAUAACACGGUGGGGAUUAGAAUCACAAGGAAACACUAUUCCCAUACAAGGGAAAUUUCCCUCAUUUUAAUUCUUGAAUUACUUAACUCUCACGUUUCUCAUUCCCUUGACAUGCUCCGUGAGCACUUUGCUGUGAACAUGAUCUUCACAUGGCUGUGGGCAAGCUUUCUGUCACCACUUUUAAGGAGAGGGAUUGCAGUUCGCUUCUAGAGUCUUAAUAGAAGCAAGUUUAAAAUAAAUUCAUAGCCAUAAAGAAAUAAAAAUGCACACAAGUCAAGCUUAACAAGCACUUUGUAGAAAGGAAGUUAUUUUAUGAAGAACGUUUGGAACUUGUGAAGGCUUUGAAGGACCUCUGAGCCACUUCCAUUGUCUUCCUGAAUGCUUUUCAUCCUGUUCUUUUGCACUUGGCAUAAACCUCCUACUUCUUGAUUUAAUUUACAUUUUUAACUUUUGACACUUGCCUCGCAAAUGUGGAGGAACUUUUGAAGAAGAAACCAAAACAGCUGUACAAACGUAAGAUAUCAGAAAAUCAAAUGUUUUUUGAUAAAUAUUGAUUUAAAUGAGGGGAAAGGUGGUAAGGACUGGAAAAGCAGCAACUGAUGUAUUUAUAGGAAUUAAAUCCGCCCUUAUCGGUACAAAUGCUUCCGCAUUCUGUAAAUAGCAGCCCAGAGUGACAACCCUGUGAAAGUCAUGCUCUGUCACAUGUUCACGGGUGGACUUUGCGAUUUUCAUUCUAUUCCUCUCAAGCCCUUUCGGAGAAUAUCUCUGAACUCCUAACAGUGUUUGGUGUUUAACGGUCCACUCCUUUAAGCAGCUGGAAGUUUCUUGAAUGAAACACAGGAGGCUUUCACUUCUGGAACUCUAAGAUCUGGUGAGAGUCCUCAAAAAAGUAUGACGCCAGUUGGUACGAAUUUCCUCCUGAGAAGUGAAAGAUAAACCACAUCAAAAAGUUACCGAAGAGCUUCCUGACUCUACUGAGAAUGGGUUACCCUAGCCACAGCCGGGGUGAGAGCACAACCCCACCGUCUGUUUUUCCAGCGGGGCAGGGCACAUUCAGACCUACUGCAGGCAGAAGCACAGGCCGGGCAUAAUCCUGUCCCACAUAGACGCUAUGAACUCAGCCAGUUAAAAAACGUUCAAUGUUUAACAUGAAUUAUUAUUCUCCUAAAGAAUUUUUCUUUGAGAGGGUCUCUGUCCCAGAGGAAGAGAUCUGAAACGUGUCCAGAUCGAGUCCUUCUUUGACAAAAAAUGCAGACGGAGAUAGACGUAAGGGUCUCCAGCAACAGGCCUUAUCUGAACAUUUUCUGGGAUUUUCAGACAAAAUUUUAUGAAAACCAACAGACAAAAACCAGAGUCUUCCUUUGGGGUUUCUGACCCUGGGACCUCACAGAGAAGCUCCACCUGGACGGAGCAACAGUGGAUGGAGGGGUCUUCCAUGUGAACGCCAGCUUUCUCUCUGCUUCUACUGAAUUCAUCGGCUGUUUUGCAAGCAAAAUCACAAACUCAUACAGCAAUAAGUUCUUCUAGACAUCACCUAGCCCAGUUGACCCUUGGACAACAGAGGAUUGGGACACCCAUCCCCGGCACAGUUGGAGUCCAUGGGUAACUAACUGUUGACUCACCAAAACCUAACUGCUAAUAGCCUACAGUUGACCUGUACUGUAUCAAAAAAAUCCACGUACAAGAGCAUCUGUGUAUUUCAAACCUGUGUUGUUCAAAGAUCAAGAGUACACACGCGGAGGAGUGUGCGGUGUGGGGCACAUACAGGCAAGCAGAGAGCCCAGGCACGUGAGAAGAAGGAACACACCCACUUCUGGAUACUGAAUGGAGAAACAAGAGACGGGUCUGGGAAGUGAUACAAAUGAAUCAUCCACUCCAUUUUGGGUUGCUGGUCACUUUCUGGAGAGCGUAAGAAUCCUCCCCCAAGUAGCUCUGUCCCCAAAGCACUGACAUCAGCAAACACCAGCAGUCACCACAGUGGACAAAUGGCUGGCCUGGUUGAAGCAGUGAGAGUGACAAAUGACCCUGAAGUCGCUACAUUCCUUCUCAUCAAAAUGGCAGAGAAGGAGCUCUACAUGUGCAGUUCGCUCCCAAAAGAGGAGAAAUGAUCUGUCUAGAAGGGGAGCCCAUCCACACCCAACAACAGGCUUGGGUUCACCAACAUGGCCAGCCCUUCUAAGCUCUGCCGACCAAGCUUCCUCAGGACACAAGAUCAACUCAGAACCCCGAUAUCUUCAUCACUUGUUCCUGCCCUCUGGGUCAAGGUGUUUUAGAAACACAGAACCAUGGGCUUUUGGAGCCACUCAGGACUUUGGAGCUCACCCCAUUCUGUUCAUCGGAGAAAGGAGGAAACUAAGCAAACUUUUCCUCAAAAAAUCCCUGAGGCAUUUUUCCCUCUGGUUUUAUAAGCAAUGGAAGAGGACCAGCUAGAAGUGCCUACACUCAGAGCCCAAAGCCCACCUUCCUUUCUGGCACCCUCCUCCCUCUCCAAAGUAGUACUACACAACUGAUAUGUAGAAGGAACAGCUUUGACCCUUUUCCAUGGGUCCAUAGAAGGAAUGUGACAUAAAAGCAUGGGUGCCUUGGCCAAGAAGAUGUAGGCAGACAUCUACUCUGGAAUUCUGGGAAAAUUUUACCCUCCUAAAAUAAGCCCCGCCUGUCCAUUGUGACAUCAUCCUUAUUGCAUCAAAAUCAGAUGCGAGGUUGCAGGUGGGCAGCCAUCUCAGGACCAAUCAGAUGAAACCAGCUUCGAAGGUGGCAGAGCAGGAGCUAGAAGGGGUCUGGGUCCAGGACUACUCCUGUCCACACUGCUCCUUAUGCAAGACACACACUCUGGGGGAGACAGGCUGACCAAGACAUCUGGUUCCUUUUCCCUGAAGGUAUUUGCUCAAGCCAAGGAAUGAAGCACCUGUGAGUGAGGAGCAGAUGAAAGCUGGAAACAUAAAAACUUGAGAGAACCUUUUUUUCAUUUUCAAGGGGAUUAUCGAGGGAGGAAUGUACUUUGGCUCCCUGUAAGCCCAUCCAAUAUCUGAUCUCCCACCUUGGCCACUGCUGCAGUUCUACAGGAUGUCAUCCAGAGUUCCAACUGCCUAAAGGAAGAAAGAAUCCCAUCUGGAUUACCAGGGGCCCGUGUUUGGAGGGACCAGUGGGCACUAUCUGGGUAAUCUCCAUACUCAGAAGGAAACAAAUGUUUCUUCCAGGUUAUUUACCAGGCUCUUCAACCAACGACUCACACACACACACAUCACCCCUUGCUUUAGAAGCCAGUGGGUGUCGAGCAGAAGAAACAAAACCAGAGAGAAACAAAAAAAUAAAUAAAAAAUAAAAAAGGACAGAAAUAGGAGUGAACGAUCUGAGACAAAUGAAGCUGAGGAGUGUACUUAUUCAAAAACAUCAACCUAUUUUUUUUUUAAGUGUCUACCAACCGAAGAUUUCUCAGGACAUCGUUUCAUUCCAUAUUAAGGUGGACCAGAAUUUAUUCUCCACCUCUCAGGACCCAGCUUGUAUUUCCAACAGCACCAGCCGUGAUGCUGCCGCACGUCUUCCUGACCUGAACUGGCCAUGCUCUUGCCAGAGAAAGAAAUGGAGUCGUUUUACCCAUGAUCUCUGAAGUUAUGUACACCAGCAUCACAGGCUAUAGAAAUAACAUUGCGACGAACUCAAAUGGUAAUUUACGGAGCACGGACAGUGAGUGGAGCGUGUUUUCUGUCCUAAAAAUCCCAGUCUAGGGCAGACUUAUGAAUAAUUUUAAAAAAUCAGGAAGUCUGUGAAAAUCCCCCCACUGUCUUAUAAAGACUGCAGGGUGCUCAUCAAAUCUCCUAAGACCUCUGGGUCCCUCCCCCUCUGAGGAGGUCCCUGGACCUGACUCCUAAUGGCCAAAGCCAAGGAACGCAGGCACCUGCCUCCAGCAAAUCCACUCCGAUUCCCUCUCAUUCCCAGACACAAAUUUCCAUGAAAACCAGACACAGGACAGAAAGCAGAGCAGGAUAUUCCAAAAUCGCUUCAGAUCUGCAGCCUGAUUUCAUUAGACUCGCCGGCUUGUUUCUUUUAGCCCUUGUGUGUGCCCACGGCAGGUGAAAUUUCGCUGGCGCUGCCGUCUAUCUACAACAUCCAUGCCGUCCAUACACUUACGGAGACCAGGCUCUUGCAGGAGAGAUAGGAGGACUGUGAUGCCGAGGGGGACACGUGUCUGUCCAGAGGUCAACAGGAGGAGGGAGGCACUAGGCGAUGCUCAGAAUCCUUGACGAGGUGGCUCUACGGGGUGCCACUUGUCAUGUCGCUGAACCCACCCCCACAGCCCUAUAGCAUAUGAAAGUUGUUCAGCCUGAAGGGAAAAACUCCAUAGUUGUCGUUAUUAAUCCAAGUCUAACUAAAUACAGCCGCUUCCAAGAGCACAUGUUGGCCAUUUCACACCACAGACACCCAACCUGAGAAGCCUGUGGGGAACCCACUGGGGGUGGGGCCCUUCUCUCACCUUCUUCCUGCCGACAGCAGCACCCACCGGCUGACAAUCCCACAUUCGACACUUUGUCACCAAGGUCUUCCCGGAUGAAGUGGCAAGGACCCAGCGCAGGAGCGACUGGACAUCAACCCUGCCUUGGGAGCCACCCGGCCAGCCUAAAGCUCUGCUUGCCAGCGAUGACACGGAUUUUCCUCCAAGAUCUUAAGCACAUGUGGCUUACAUCAAUGUGGUCUCGUAUCCACUCUCUGUUGAGACCACUUGCCUCGCACAUUCUCAUAUUUACACAUGUUCACUGAACGUAACCCCAAGUGAAUUAUUUAAGAAGCCUUAAUGUGCUUCAGACUUCGCAAAUAUAAUUUAGACCUUAAAUUAAAUUUGUACUCCCCUGGGAAACCGGUAGGUUGAACGCGGCCUACGGCAUCCAGUGGACGGCAGUAGCCCCAGAAGGGAAUUUCAGUUUACCUCCGGGAGGAUCUCACCUGGUGGCCCACGCUCCGUGUUGAACGGAACGGGAUUCGACUGCAAAAUGGGAUUUGUUGCCCACAUCUGAAAGCAGCGGAGCCGACCGGAGCGCGAGAUAAGUAUUCUUGCUUUUUUGUUUGUCCCCCGAUGGCCUUUACAACGGAGCAUCCCAGCAACCAGAGAUGUGCUACUAGUACAGACGAGAACACACAGCCCCGUUUGUCAGUUUUGAGGCUUGGGGGUUUUUAAAUAUAAAUCCCAAUAUUCUCUUUCCCCUGUGUUCGGUUGCCAAUAACUGAACAAAUGAGGUGUUAAAUUUGACACAGUGAUUAGAUUUGAGAAAAGCCACAUGCAUCCAUUCCACUUAACGCAGUUUUGUUUUGUCUUCUGUUUCUUUACAGUAAGCAUUGCCCACUGGGAAAAAUACAGCAGAAUAGGGACAGUGAAAUUCCCUUAUCAUGCACUAGUGAUAAUGAAAGCAAACCAUUUACAAGGAAGCACAGACUAGGAGUUUGCUGCUGCAGACCAGGCACUAGAACUGAAAACAAAGUUUCUUAUUCAGGGAAAUGCGAAUGAGGAAGAUCUACAGUGGGGGUCUUUUACUUUGCAUAAAAAUUAAAUUAAAUCUGAACUCUAAAGCACGCAUAAGGUAAAGAGCUAAGUUAUUCAAAGACUCAUCACACACAGCACAUUGAUAAUAACAAGUAGCAUAUGAACCACACGACUGACUUCAUAAGACUUUGCCAUGAGCUGGUGCGUUACUUAAGAGGGAGAGGCCUGUGUUAGAGGAACCUGCCAUUACCAAAUUGUGUGAAUACGUGCUCUUGAAAGUUAAUCCUGCAACAAUCCAUCUCACUGAUGUUCUUUCCAGCACCUCAAGAAUGCUAUCCUUCAAAAUGAUAAAGUGCAUUAUUCUCAAGAAACUGUCCACCGGCAAAACAAGAAAUUUGUCAUCAUGCUGGAAUUAUCUUUAAAUAAGGGAAUAUUCAAGUAAGAAUUUUUUUACUCAUGAAGUUGUCAGAGCAUGAUUCCAAUAAAAGCAGCACUACUCGUUCGUUA
Molecule: long non-coding RNA, 7170 nt
Organism: Canis lupus familiaris (dog)
Lineage: Eukaryota; Metazoa; Chordata; Mammalia; Carnivora; Canidae
Exons: 8
Source: RefSeq, a predicted model, not a curated record